UUUUUUCUUUUUCUUUUUUCUUUUUUCUUUUUUCUAUGUGUAUUUAUAAUGGAAUGUGUAUUUAUAAUGGAGUGUGUAUUUAUAAUGGAAUGUGUAUUAUGUAUUAAUUUGAUGGGUUAUAUUCACCAUCUCAAGUGAGAGGCGACCACACCUACAAAUCCACCAUACUUCCUCCAACCAAACAAAAAAUUGGAUCACCAAAUCCACCUUUGUCCCUACAACCAAACAAAAAAUUGAAUCGCCAUAUUCAGACAACCAAACAAAAAAAUGGACCGCCAUAUCCAGCAAAAUAUGGACCACCGUAUCCCAUCCAAUCUUGACCAGGAACCAAACACACCCUUAGUGUUCUAUACAAGCAUGUUGACUGUUUGAUAAAAAAAAUCACAAUACUGACUGGUUUUUGAAAGAAGUUAGUGUUCUAGACAAGUACAUCAGGGCUUCUGUCCUAGAUCCCCAUCCAUUUGUGCCUAUGAAUCAUGUUGCUUCUCAGAACAGAUGGUAAAUUCAAUAUGCAGAUUUAUUUACUACAGCAAAAAAAUAACACUCAAUAUGCAGAUUAGUUUUCUAUUAAGCAAGCAUGUAUAACUGGAUAUGUGCUUAGGACAGAGGUGAUAUAUUGGUAGGAAAAUUCCUAUCCAGAUUAGUUUCCUAUUAAGCAAGCAUGUAUAACUGGAUAUGUGCUUAGGACAGGGGUGAUAUAUUGGUAGGAAAAUUCCUAUCCAGAAUCUGGUAUAGCGCCACUGUAAACAGAAACUCCGUGUGUGUUUAUUUCUACUUAGUGAUCCUGGAUCCUGCUAAUAUUUAGACCUUGAGAUCCUGCUAAUAUUUGGACCUUGAAUUAUAUCAUUCCUCCACAUACACAGCCUGUUGUAACUGCAGCUCUUAUCUGUUCUCUCUGUUCUUACCUUGAAUUAUGCAGAUUUUUGCAUGGUCAAAUUAGAUAGCCAUUAAAAAAACUAUGGUAUGUUGCUUCUCAGAGCACAUGGUAGAUUCGAUAUGGAGAUUCAUUUUCCAGAAAAAAGAGAGGCAAUAACAGAUUAGUUUUCUGUAACAAAAAAUAGCACAUCAUUUUCUGCUGGCGAUAGGAAUUUGCCCAGUAAUUCUGUGGCAUGCUGCCACCAAAGUUUAGCAUGUGUCUUUCGUGUUGCUACACAGAACAUAUUACCUAUGUGAUUAAUACGAUGAAUAUAUCACGUUUGAUUUGUCGGUUUAAUUAGGUGGUGUUUAUAGUUCAUCCUGUGAUGCCUUGGAUCCUUUGUGCGGUUCACCGUGGGCAUGUGGUUGGGUGCGUGUGUGCCAUCGGUCCUAACGCUCUAUGGCCCACCUGGAAAUCACCUUGGUCCAUGCUGCGCUUGGCCUAUGUAGCUCUCUCCCUGCCUGACAGCCUUGACUUUUGGUGCACCCCCACGUUUACCCAGCAUAGCCUCAUGUUUCUCUAUGCGAUGUCACUAUGUGCGACAGUGCGAGGCAGGCACGUUUCUUCAUGAUUCUCCUACCAACGUCUGGUCCACCGUAAUCCCUGGUCACACGAGUGCUCCUCUCUGCCUGUGUUUUGUGCGCUAGGAGCACGUUCAUCCAGUGCAACGAAAGGAUUGGGCAAAUUACCUACUGGUUAUUACAUUGGAUAAAUGAUGGACAUGCACCUAUUCGUUGUAGAGCCAAUGACAGGUGGGGUCGGUUUUGUGGGUUGUCCCAUAUACCAUGUGUUAUGCGUAUCCAAGAGGCUGUGAGUCUAUCGUGCCAUGUUUUUCUAAGCGCCGCGUGCUACAGUGUCUGACGUGCCUCGUCAGGCCACAUCAAAUCGUCCUACGCACGAGCCGUACCGGCAUGCGCGCAGGCAUUAAUGCAUCUGGCAUGGCCCUAGCCUUUCCUAUCGUUCCUCUUACCUGAUUCGUUAGUAGAGAUUGAGGCCAUUCAAACAGCUGCGUUGCUUCGGUUGUUUUCUUGGCUCUUCUCUCAUCUUUCCCCUUUUCGCUCUUACAUCAAUGGCCAACACUAGGGGGGAUCGUGGAUGCUGCGCCGGCGCUGCUGCUUAGAAUUUGCCUCACACCUCUAGGGUGGUCCCCCAGCCACGCUUCCACGCCGUCUUCCUCUCGAAUUUCGCAGGCGUGGCCCUCACCAAUCUACCCCAUAAUUUCCUGCCUAUUUAUCGAUGUUAGUUCCAAUGGUUGUAUCUGUGAUGUAUAAUGUACUCUAGAUUAUGCAUUGUUCUCCACAAACAAUGUUAACAUUCGGUCUAUGUAUUUUAUGUCUACUUAAUCCAUCAAUGGUUUUCCUCA
Long non-coding RNA from Oryza sativa Japonica Group (Japanese rice), 2279 nucleotides. RefSeq lists it as uncharacterized. The record is from RefSeq and is a predicted model, not a curated record. Lineage: Eukaryota; Viridiplantae; Streptophyta; Magnoliopsida; Poales; Poaceae.